RNAcentral lists this ribosomal RNA (569 nucleotides) under uncultured bacterium. Its description in RNAcentral is "partial 16S ribosomal RNA". It matches the Rfam family "Bacterial small subunit ribosomal RNA", at positions 355 to 1375 of the family's 1533-position model. The record is from RNAcentral.
UGGGGAAUAUUGCACAAUGGGCGAAAGCCUGAUGCAGCGACGCCGCGUGAGGGAUGACGGCCUUCGGGUUGUAAACCUCUUUCAGCAGGGAAGAAGCGAAAGUGACGGUACCUGCAGAAGAAGCGCCGGCUAACUACGUGCCAGCAGCCGCGGUAAUACGUAGGGCGCAAGCGUUGUCCGGAAUUAUUGGGCGUAAAGAGCUCGUAGGCGGUUAGUCGCGUCUGCUGUGAAAACUCGAGGCUCAACCUCGGGCUUGCAGUGGGUACGGGCUGACUAGAGUGCGGUAGGGGUGACUGGAAUUCCUGGUGUAGCGGUGGAAUGCGCAGAUAUCAGGAGGAACACCGAUGGCGAAGGCAGGUCACUGGGCCGCAACUGACGCUGAGGAGCGAAAGCAUGGGGAGCGAACAGGAUUAGAUACCCUGGUAGUCCAUGCCGUAAACGUUGGGCACUAGGUGUGGGGUCCAUUUCCACGGAUUCCGUGCCGCAGCAAACGCAUUAAGUGCCCCGCCUGGGGAGUACGGCCGCAAGGCUAAAACUCAAAUGAAUUGACGGGGUCAUAGCUGUUUCCU